Molecule: ribosomal RNA, 490 nt
Filed under: uncultured bacterium
Lineage: Bacteria
Description: partial 16S ribosomal RNA
Rfam family: Bacterial small subunit ribosomal RNA
Source: RNAcentral
AUUGAACGCUGGCGGCAGGCCUAACACAUGCAAGUCGAACGGUAACAGGAAGCAGCUUGCUGCUUUGCUGACGAGUGGCGGACGGGUGAGUAAUGUCUGGGAAACUGCCCGAUGGAGGGGGAUAACUACUGGAAACGGUAGCUAAUACCGCAUAACGUCGCAAGACCAAAGAGGGGGACCUUAGGGCCUCUUGCCAUCGGAUGUGCCCAGAUGGGAUUAGCUAGUAGGUGGGGUAACGGCUCACCUAGGCGACGAUCCCUAGCUGGUCUGAGAGGAUGACCAGCCACACUGGAACUGAGACACGGUCCAGACUCCUACGGGAGGCAGCAGUGGGGAAUAUUGCACAAUGGGCGCAAGCCUGAUGCAGCCAUGCCGCGUGUAUGAAGAUGGCCUUCGGGUUGUAAAAUACUUUCAGCGGGGAGGAAGGGAGUAAAGUUAAUACCUUUGCUCAUUGACGUUACCCUCAGAAGAAGCACCGGCUAACUCCGUG